Molecule: long non-coding RNA, 767 nt
Filed under: Homo sapiens (human)
Lineage: Eukaryota; Metazoa; Chordata; Mammalia; Primates; Hominidae
Description: HSALNT0224168
Source: RNAcentral
CACUGCUAUAGCUACAAACUGCUCAAGGGCUGAAGAUGGCCUGCUUUCUUUUUCUCUUUUUCUGGACAUCAUUUGAUUGUGACUGUGACUCGUACUCAUGGGUAAGGUUGAAAAGGCAGGCUAUUUCUAUAAUGCAGUGAGAGCUGUGAUCAUUUAGGUGCUAGUCUCCUAAAUUAUUCCUACUCUUUGCUUCUCAUCAGAACAUCUAAUUCAGAUAAGUGUUGUCCUCUUUUAAAGGUAUCCAGGGGAGGAAGCUGUACUUUCCCAUUUAAUAAUCUAAUACCAUUCCAUAAUAGUUUUUGACAUUGAGACUUUAUAAUUAUGUAUCUAACACAAAUUAUUUUAUCCCGCCAUGUUACCUCAUAGAAAAAAUAGCAGAGACAAUUUGGGGACCUGCUGACAGAUUUAGAAGAAACUCAUGCUUCCUCACUUGGAGGAAUUUUGGAAUGUAGACUACUGUGUUAUUGUUAGAAGUUUGAAACUGACGUCUUACAAGAAAUUCUUUCCUCACAGAAGUCUAGUUCACAGACCCAACUGUCACUACAUAUAUGGAGCCUGUUCUGUGUGCUGUAAUAAUAUUAGGGGGAGGAGCUGGAAUUAUUGUCACUAGUGGAGUUAUCUCAAGGGGGGUGUGUUCCUGAGGCUAUAGGCUGGAGCUUGGAAGGUCUUUUUCACACAGAAACAGUGGUAGUUAGAUCUUUAUGAUAGAUAUAUUUCAUCAUCCAGUCUCAUUGUGUAUUAAAUGUGCCUGUGUGACAUAGUCUGUA